UAGUUAAAGGUUUUAGGAUAUUUGGAAUUAAGCAUAUUUGAGUUUGAGUAGUACUAGGCUGGAUGACUUCUCAGGAAAUCCAAAUUCAAGAGCUUAUAAUUCUUUGACAAUUGACGCAAAAUUUGAAUGAAUAAAAGGAAUCUAACAUUGUAAUAGUCCCUAUGGACGCAAUAUGAUUUUGCCCAAUGCUCUAAAUGUCAAAGUGAAAGCCUAAGUAAUUGGCAGGAGUAAAUAUAACUCUCUUAAGGUAGCCAAAUGCUUUGUCAUCUAAUUAGUGACGUAUAUGAAUGGAUUAAUAAAAUUCCACUAUCCUUACCUACUAUCUAGCGAAACCACAACCAAGGGAACAAGCUUAG
Molecule: non-coding RNA, 356 nt
Filed under: Selaginella moellendorffii
Lineage: Eukaryota; Viridiplantae; Streptophyta; Lycopodiopsida; Selaginellales; Selaginellaceae
Description: Eukaryotic large subunit ribosomal RNA
Rfam family: Eukaryotic large subunit ribosomal RNA
Source: Rfam by way of RNAcentral